Molecule: long non-coding RNA, 310 nt
Organism: Hipposideros armiger (great roundleaf bat)
Lineage: Eukaryota; Metazoa; Chordata; Mammalia; Chiroptera; Hipposideridae
Exons: 3
Source: RefSeq, a predicted model, not a curated record
AUCUUGGUUGGCCACAGGCUCCUUCUUGUCCUUCUUUAUCCUGCUCUUGCUGGCCCGGGAGAUGUGCCAGUAUAACACAGUCAUGAUGAUCACAGUUCUCACCCCCACAAUGAACUGCCAGAAGAGAAUGGCCGGAGCCCAGAGGAUGAAGGACAGGACCCAGGCCGCGGCGAUCAUCAUGCCUGCCAUUUUGGUGGUCCGCUUGACAGGGAGUGAGCCCACUGGAUCAAGAUGUGGGUGCAAGCAUUCUUUUGGCUCCCGCCAUGAUGAUUUUCCAGGAUGGCUGCAGCAGACCUAGGACUCUGAUCAG